GAUGAACGCUGGCGGCGUGCCUAAUACAUGCAAGUCGAGCGAACGGACGAGAAGCUUGCUUCUCUGAUGUUAGCGGCGGACGGGUGAGUAACACGUGGAUAACCUACCUAUAAGACUGGGAUAACUUCGGGAAACCGGAGCUAAUACCGGAUGAUAUUUUGAACCGCAUGGUUCAAAAGUGAAAGACGGUCUUGCUGUCACUUAUAGAUGGAUCCGCGCUGCAUUAGCUAGUUGGUAAGGUAACGGCUUACCAAGGCAACGAUGCAUAGCCGACCUGAGAGGGUGAUCGGCCACACUGGAACUGAGACACGGUCCAGACUCCUACGGGAGGCAGCAGUAGGGAAUCUUCCGCAAUGGGCGAAAGCCUGACGGAGCAACGCCGCGUGAGUGAUGAAGGUCUUCGGAUCGUAAAACUCUGUUAUUAGGGAAGAACAUAUGUGUAAGUAACUGUGCACAUCUUGGCGGUACCUAAUCAGAAAGCCACGGCUAACUACGUG
This 497-nucleotide ribosomal RNA is filed under the name uncultured bacterium. Its description in RNAcentral is "partial 16S ribosomal RNA". It matches the Rfam family "Bacterial small subunit ribosomal RNA", at positions 28 to 507 of the family's 1533-position model. The record is from RNAcentral.